GGGACACGUGGUAUCCUGUCUGAAUAUGGGGGGACCAUCCUCCAAGGCUAAAUACUCCUGACUGACCGAUAGUGAACCAGUACCGUGAGGGAAAGGCGAAAAGAACCCCGGCGAGGGGAGUGAAAAAGAACCUGAAACCGUGUACGUACAAGCAGUGGGAGCCUCUUUUAUGGGGUGACUGCGUACCUUUUGUAUAAUGGGUCAGCGACUUAUAUUCUGUAGCAAGGUUAACCGAAUAGGGGAGCCGAAGGGAAACCGAGUCUUAACUGGGCGUUAAGUUGCAGGGUAUAGACCCGAAACCCGGUGAUCUAGCCAUGGGCAGGUUGAAGGUUGGGUAACACUAACUGGAGGACCGAACCGACUAAUGUUGAAAAAUUAGCGGAUGACUUGUGGCUGGGGGUGAAAGGCCAAUCAAACCGGGAGAUAGCUGGUUCUC
This 436-nucleotide ribosomal RNA is filed under the name Escherichia coli. Its description in RNAcentral is "partial 23S ribosomal RNA". It matches the Rfam family "Bacterial large subunit ribosomal RNA", at positions 419 to 857 of the family's 2925-position model. Lineage: Bacteria; Pseudomonadati; Pseudomonadota; Gammaproteobacteria; Enterobacterales; Enterobacteriaceae. The record is from RNAcentral.